CAUUUGAUUCCGUGGAGAGAAAGAUAGAGAGAAGGUUUUUUUUUUCUUUUUUUGAGAGAAAGGUAGCAUGUUACCCACUUCGUUUAUUUCUUUAGAAUUUAGGAAUAAACUUAGCUGGAAAUGUAAAUUAAUUAGGAAUCAAACUUGAGACCUCGAGUACUAAUCACCGAGUAUUUGCCACUUGCGCUAGGGACAGUCGGUAGAGAGAAGGUUUUUGACAAGUAGAUUAUUUAGAAUGGGUGAUAAUAUGGGUUUUUUGUGACUUGUGAGGUGAUCAUAGAGUGAAAAGGAUAGAAAGAGAGAGAGAGAGAGAGAAUUAAAGUGCACGAAGAAGAUAAGGUUUGU
This 345-nucleotide long non-coding RNA is filed under the name Ananas comosus (pineapple). Its description in RNAcentral is "long non-coding RNA (ACOM_LNC023776)". The record is from RNAcentral. Lineage: Eukaryota; Viridiplantae; Streptophyta; Magnoliopsida; Poales; Bromeliaceae.